AAAACAAAAUCUCCAAAAAUAAUCGCCAUGACUCAUCAAUCUCAGCAAGAAAAAUCCACAACUAAAGAAGAAGAAAAGGCGAAGCAGAAUCUUACUUUAAAAAAAAUGGGAGGAAUAUCAACUCUUUCAGCCCCAAAACACUUGCACAAUCAUCCGACAUUAGCAUCCCAAAAUAAUUCAAGAAUCUUAAACCAAACUAAUGACAAAAUUUCAUCAGUCAAGUUCAAUCCCGCUUUCAGAUCAUCAAGAAAAGAGAACCCAUUUUCUUGUUUUGCUUUAGAUGCUUCGAGGGAGUCUAUGCCGCCUCUGGUGGUGGUUGGAUCAGCCAAUGCAGAUAUAUAUGUGGAGAUUGACAGAUUGCCUAAGGAGGGUGAGACUAUAUCUGCAAAAACUGGGCAAACAUUGGCAGGUGGUAAAGGAGCCAAUCAGGCAGUGUGUGGGGGCAAAUUGGCGUAUCCAACUUACUUUUUGGGGCAAGUGGGGGACGAUGCUCAUGGGAAGUUGAUCACUGAGGCACUUGAGGGUGGUGGAGUGUUUCUUGAUUAUUUGAGUAGACUGGAUGAUGUUCCCACUGGGCAUGCCGUGGUUAUGCUGCAAGCUGGUGGGCAGAAUUCUAUUAUUAUUGUUGGGGGAGCUAAUAUGGCUUGUUGGCCUGAGACUCUGCCUGAGGAGGAUCUGGAGGUCGUUAAGAACGCUGGGAUUGUUUUGCUUCAGAGGGAGAUUCCUGAUUCUGUUAACAUUCAGGUUGCAAAGGUUGCUAGGAAUGCACAUGUCCCAGUCAUCUUGGAUGCAGGUGGAGUUGAUGCACCAAUCCCCAUAGAGCUACUUAGUUUUGUUGAUAUUUUGAGUCCAAAUGAGACUGAGCUUGCUCGUCUGACGAACAUGCCAACAGAAACGUUUGAACAGAUCAGUCAAGCUGUGAAAAAAUGCUAUAAAAUGGGUGUUAAGCAAGUUCUUGUGAAACUUGGAGAUAAAGGGUCUGUUCUUUUUACUGAAGGAGCAGAACCAAUUAAACAACCCAUCAUAUCAGCUUCAAAAGUAAUUGAUACAACUGGAGCUGGUGAUACUUUCACUGCUUCUUUUGCUGUUGCUCUUGUAGAGGGAAAAUCCAGAAAGGAAUGCUUGAGAUUUGCUGCUGCAGCUGCUUCACUUUGUAUUCAAGUAAAGGGAGCUAUUCCAAGCAUGCCUGACAGAAAAUCAGUUUUGGAUCUUCUUCACUCCCUUUGAGGACGUUCCUUUUUGUAUCUUAGUGCAUCUUGCUUAUAAAUAAGAGGGAUUGAGUGAUAGGGAGAUUAAAAGGGAGAAAGAAAAUUACAGGAUAGAAAAGAUGUCAAGAACAUGCAAAAAUACAAUCAAUAUCUAGCUAGGAGACAAGACUGGAGGUCUGGAUCGAGUUUGAAAACAGAGGGCUUUAAACUCUUUCCCCUGACUUAACAUACUGCCCCUCAAGAGGAAUGGUAUUGUGUAGAUAAAGGCCGGCACUUCAACUGUUCUUAAUUCAGGAAGCUGGAGUGUUUCAGUGUGCUUCUGAGUAUAAAGCCAACAAAUUGAUCAUUUGAUUAUUUAAGACUUUAUGAGAGUAUGUAAAUAACACACCUAUCCUUUUCUUACCACCAUGAUGUCAUUUCUUUUAGAUUUUUCAUGUAGUUCGAAACAUUUAUGUUGUACAAACAGUGUGACAAGAAUGUUAGUGAUCCGACAAACUAAAAAAUUAUAUUUUUAUGAUCAUCCAAUUUAUAUUUUUAUUUCUAUUUCAGAGUUGCAUCUGUAAUUGUUAUAAAAAUUAAUAGAAUACUUGUCCUACUUGAUAGAAUUUGUGACUAUAACCUGGCUACCGGGACUUUCUGUAAUAUUUAGCCAAUGUUUAGAAGUAGCUUAAUUCUGUAAUAUUUCUUCUCAUGGUUUUAAGCUGUUGAGAUAUGUGAACUUCUGAUUUUUCGAUCAUAUGUCCUAUAUUGACUACUUGAGUUGCAUAGUUGAUUAAAUGUUCUCGUGUAUGGAAACUAGAGCUUGCCUAUAAAAAAUUAUGCUAUCUUAGCAUAGUAUUGUUUCACCGUCUCUAUUGAUUGAGCUGAUGACCAAUGCUCAUGCCCUAGUGGCUCUUCUACUUGUUAGGUGCUGGAGGAUUUAGUCCCUCAUCCGUUUUUAUUGAUCUCUCUCUGUCCCUUCAAUAUGCAAACCGUCUCUUGCGAAUUGUUUAUUGUUUAAAGAUAGUAAUGAAUUUAUAUUUAUUUGUAUAACACACUAAUAUCAAAGCAUUCACAACCUUUAUUGAAUUUUUAUUUACCAUGGUAGUUUAUAGCAUGGCUACAACAACGAAUCAACAUCGAUACCGACGACAACAGUUAGGUUUAUUUUGGACGAUGAUCAUGCAAGCGAUUGUGAUAUAUAAUGAACUUAGGUGUCGUGCACGACAUCUUCCAAGAGCUCCUCAUACAAAUUGAAAUUCUGAAAGAGAAAUAACACUUACACGAAUGUUUGGCACGAGUGAUACAAUAUGUCGUGAUCUCCUUAGGAUGAAAAUAGGUCCAUUUCCAAGAUUAUGUGCUCGUUUGCGAACCUAUGGAUUGGUUGAUAGGAAAUACGUUCGAAUUGAGGAACAAGUCGCAAUUUUUUUGAAUACAGUCGGGCAUGACCAACGUAAUCGCGCUGGACGUUUCACUUUCUUUCGCUCUGGUCAAACAGUGAGCUUUUACUUUCACAGAGUCUUACACUCUUGUCUUGGACUGUAUAGAGAUGUUGUGACUAAUGCCACUCCUCAUAACUCACCAUACGAAAAAGAAAAUGUGCAGCCAUGGUACUCCUUUUUCCAGGUUAGUGGUUUGUAGUUAUUUCGACAUAUUUCUUAAAACUUCAAUAUACACAUUUAUUUUGAAACGUAUUCUUUUUUAAAGGAUGCCGUAGGAGCAAUCGAUGGUACACAUAUUGCUGCGUAUGCGUCUUUAGAGGAGCAAGGUAAAUAUCGCAAUAGAAAACAAGUGAUCUCCCAAAAUGUUUUAGUAGCUUGCACAUUUGAUAUGAAAUUUACUUACGUGCUUGCCGGUUGGGAGAGAUCCGCACAUGAUGGUCGAUUGUUACGGAGUGCAAUAUUACGCCAAGGACAUAAGCUAACAAUUCCUGUUGGUAAAUAUUAUCUUGUUGACGUUGGCUUCCCAUCGGUUUCGAGUUUUCUUGCACCAUAUCGUAGGACUCGUUAUCAUCGUAGAGACAUUGAAGGUCAACGUCCUGAAAGUAGUAAGGAGUUGUUCAAUUUUCGACAUUCAUCUCUACGUAAUGUUAUUGAGCGUACAAUUGGUUUCUGAAGAAAAGAUUUGCAUAUUUGAGACAUCAACCCUAUCACGACAUUGACACACAAGCAAAGAUAGUCCUUGCCUGUUCUGCCAUCCACAACUUCUUAAGAAUUGAUGACGUUGAAGAUGUUUGUGAGGAGGACGACUUAGAUAGUAGUGAUGAUGAGGUUAACCCUACGCAUGUUGAUGUACCUGAAGAUGAAACUCCAAAUGCUGACAUAUCUUUCACAAAUCAGGAAGUGUGGUCUAAUAAGAGGAAUGCGAUUGCUGAUUUAAUGUGGGCUGAUUAUCUUCCCAAUCAGAAUGCGGGAAUUGAUGUUGCUUGAAAUCUGAAUUUUUUUUUCCUUUUUUUCUUGUGGUGUUUUUUUUUUAUUUUUUUUUAUCUUUUUAUGUAAUGGAUUCAUACUUACUAGACUUUCAUCUGUAGUAAUUACUUGAAUUGAAGACGUAUUGACAUGAA
RNA transcript from Olea europaea var. sylvestris, 3750 nucleotides. It is a transcript of the gene named ribokinase-like, with no coding region annotated. NCBI's taxonomy places the organism in Eukaryota, Viridiplantae, Streptophyta, Magnoliopsida, Lamiales, Oleaceae. The transcript is spliced from 8 exons. The record is from RefSeq and is a predicted model, not a curated record.